This 896-nucleotide ribosomal RNA is filed under the name uncultured bacterium. Its description in RNAcentral is "bacterial SSU rRNA". It matches the Rfam family "Bacterial small subunit ribosomal RNA", at positions 8 to 907 of the family's 1533-position model. The record is from RNAcentral.
AGAGUUUGAUCAUGGCUCAGGAUGACCACUAGCGGCGUGCCUGAGAUAUGCAAGUCGAAUGUCUUUUUCUCCGCAAGGAGAGAAGGUAAUGGCGGACGGCUGAGUAACACGUGGGGACCUGCCCUAAAGUAGGGAAUAGCUCACCGAAAGGUGGGGUAAUACUCUAUAUCCAGUUUACUGGAAAGAGCUUAACUGCUCGCUUAAGGAUGGACCUGCGUCCUAUCAGAUAGUUGGUGAGGUAAAGGCUUACCAAGUCUAUGACGGGUAGCUGGCCUGAGAAGGUGGUCAGCCAGAGGAGCACUGAGAUACGGGCUCCACUCCUACGGGAGGCAGCAAUCAGGAAUAGUCGGCAAUGGGCGAAAGCCUGACCGCGCGACGUCGCGUGUAGGAUGAAGCAUUAACGUGUGUAAACUACUGUGGUAAGAGAAGAAAUUCCGAUUUAUCGGAACUGACGGUAUCUUACUAGAAAGAGGCCGCUAACUGCGUGCCAGAAGCGUCGGUAAGACGUGGGCCUCAAGUGUUAUCCGGUGUUAUUGGGCGUAAAGAGUCGUGUAGGUGGUCUAGUAAGUUCUUACUUAAAGACCGGGGCUCAACCUCGGGAAAAGUAAGAAUACUGCUGGACUAGAAUAUCCUCAAGGGAGAUUGGAACUGAACGAGUAGCAGUGAAAUGCGUUGAUACGUUCAGGAACAUCAGUGGCGAAGGCGAAUCUCUGGGAGGAUAUUGACACUGAGACACGAAAGCUAGGGGAGCGAAGCAGAUUAGAGACCUGCGUAGUCCUAGCCCUAAACCAUGCUUGCUGGCUGCAUUGGCUCCAAUUUAUUGGAGACGGUGUGGCGAAGCUAACGCGUUAAGCAAGCCGCCUGGGGAGUACGGUCGCAAGGCUGAAACUCAAAGG